GGUUAAGCGACUAAGCGUACACGGUGGAUGCCCUGGCAGUCAGAGGCGAUGAAGGACGUGCUAAUCUGCGAAAAGCGCCGGCGAGGUGAUAUGAACCUUUGACCCGGCGAUGUCCGAAUGGGGAAACCCAGUGCAAUCCGUUGCACUAUCGUUAACUGAAUACAUAGGUUAACGAGGCGAACCGGGGGAACUGAAACAUCUAAGUACCCCGAGGAAAAGAAAUCAACCGAGAUUCCCCCAGUAGCGGCGAGCGAACGGGGAGCAGCCCGGAGUCUGAAUCAGCUUGUGUGUUAGUGGAACGGUCUGGAAAGUCCGACGGUACAGGGUGAUAGUCCCGUACACGAAAGCACACAUGCUGUGAACUCGAAGAGUAGGGCGGGACACGUGGUAUCCUGUCUGAAUAUGGGGGGACCAUCCUCCAAGGCUAAAUACUCCUGACUGACCGAUAGUGAACCAGUACCGUGAGGGAAAGGCGAAAAGAACCCCGGCGAGGGGAGUGAAAAAGAACCUGAAACCGUGUACGUACAAGCAGUGGGAGCCUCUUUAUGGGGUGACUGCGUACCUUUUGUAUAAUGGGUCAGCGACUUAUAUUCUGUAGCAAGGUUAACCGUAUAGGGGAGCCGAAGGGAAACCGAGUCUUAACUGGGCGUUAAGUUGCAGGGUAUAGACCCGAAACCCGGUGAUCUAGCCAUGGGCAGGUUGAAGGUUGGGUAACACUAACUGGAGGACCGAACCGACUAAUGUUGAAAAAUUAGCGGAUGACCUGUGGCUGGGGGUGAAAGGCCAAUCAAACCGGGAGAUAGCUGGUUCUCCCCGAAAGCUAUUUAGGUAGCGCCUCGUGAACUCAUCUUCGGGGGUAGAGCACUGUUUCGGCUAGGGGGCCAUCCCGGCUUACCAACCCGAUGCAAACUACGAAUACCGAAGAAUGUUAUCACGGGAGACACACGGCGGGUGCUAACGUCCGUCGUGAAGAGGGAAACAACCCAGACCGCCAGCUAAGGUCCCAAAGUCAUGGUUAAGUGGGAAACGAUGUGGGAAGGCACAGACAGCCAGGAUGUUGGCUUAGAAGCAGCCAUCAUUUAAAGAAAGCGUAAUAGCUCACUGGUCGAGUCGGCCUGCGCGGAAGAUGUAACGGGGCUAAACCAUGCACCGAAGCUGCGGCAGCGACGCUUAGGCGUUGUUGGGUAGGGGAGCGUUCUGUAAGCCGUUGAAGGUGUGCUGUGAGGCAUGCUGGAGGUAUCAGAAGUGCGAAUGCUGACAUAAGUAACGAUAAAGCGGGUGAAAAGCCCGCUCGCCGGAAGACCAAGGGUUCCUGUCCAACGUUAAUCGGGGCAGGGUGAGUCGACCCCUAAGGCGAGGCCGAAAGGCGUAGUCGAUGGGAAACAGGUUAAUAUUCCUGUACUUGGUGUUACUGCGAAGGGGGGACGGAGAAGGCUAUGUCAGCCGGGCGACGGUUGUCCCGGUUUAAGCAUGUAGGCGGAGGUUCCAGGUAAAUCCGGUACCUUAUUAACGCUGAGGUGUGAUGACGAGGCACUACGGUGCUGAAGUGAUAAAUGCCCUGCUUCCAGGAAAAGCCUCUAAGCAUCAGGUAACACGAAAUCGUACCCCAAACCGACACAGGUGGUCAGGUAGAGAAUACCAAGGCGCUUGAGAGAACUCGGGUGAAGGAACUAGGCAAAAUGGUGCCGUAACUUCGGGAGAAGGCACGCUGAUAUGUAGGUGAAGUCCCUGCGGACGGAGCUGAAAUCAGUCGAAGAUACCAGCUGGCUGCAACUGUUUAUUAAAAACACAGCACUGUGCAAACACGAAAGUGGACGUAUACGGUGUGACGCCUGCCCGGUGCCGGAAGGUUAAUUGAUGGGGUUAGCGGCAACGCGAAGCUCUUGAUCGAAGCCCCGGUAAACGGCGGCCGUAACUAUAACGGUCCUAAGGUAGCGAAAUUCCUUGUCGGGUAAGUUCCGACCUGCACGAAUGGCGUAAUGAUGGCCAGGCUGUCUCCACCCGAGACUCAGUGAAAUUGAACUCGCUGUGAAGAUGCAGUGUACCCGCGGCAAGACGGAAAGACCCCGUGAACCUUUACUAUAGCUUGACACUGAACACUGGUCCUUGAUGUGUAGGAUAGGUGGGAGGCUUUGAAGCGUGGACGCCAGUCUGCGUGGAGCCAACCUUGAAAUACCACCCUUUAAUGGCUGGUGUUCUAACGUAGACCCGUAAUCCGGGUUGCGGACAGUGUCUGGUGGGUAGUUUGACUGGGGCGGUCUCCUCCCAAAGAGUAACGGAGGAGCACGAAGGUUGGCUAAUCCUGGUCGGACAUCAGGAGGUUAGUGCAAUGGCAUAAGCCAGCUUGACUGCGAGCGUGACGGCGCGAGCAGGUGCGAAAGCAGGUCAUAGUGAUCCGGUGGUUCUGAAUGGAAGGGCCAUCGCUCAACGGAUAAAAGGUACUCCGGGGAUAACAGGCUGAUACCGCCCAAGAGUUCAUAUCGACGGCGGUGUUUGGCACCUCGAUGUCGGCUCAUCACAUCCUGGGGCUGAAGUAGGUCCCAAGGGUAUGGCUGUUCGCCAUUUAAAGUGGUACGCGAGCUGGGUUUAGAACGUCGUGAGACAGUUCGGUCCCUAUCUGCCGUGGGCGCUGGAGAAUUGAGGGGGGCUGCUCCUAGUACGAGAGGACCGGAGUGGACGCAUCACUGGUGUUCGGGUUGUCAUGCCAAUGGCACUGCCCGGUAGCUAAAUGCGGAAGAGAUAAGUGCUGAAAGCAUCUAAGCACGAAACUUGCCCCGAGAUGAGUUCUCCCUGAGACUUUAAGUCUCCUGAAGGAACGUUGAAGACGACGACGUUGAUAGGUCGGGUGUGUAAGCGCAGCGAUGCGUUGAGCUAACCGAUACUAAUGAACCGUGAGGCUUAACCUU
RNAcentral lists this ribosomal RNA (2906 nucleotides) under Enterobacter cloacae. Its description in RNAcentral is "23S ribosomal RNA". It matches the Rfam family "Bacterial large subunit ribosomal RNA". Lineage: Bacteria; Pseudomonadati; Pseudomonadota; Gammaproteobacteria; Enterobacterales; Enterobacteriaceae. The record is from RNAcentral. RNAcentral also lists the same sequence under 4 other names.